This is a small nucleolar RNA of Chanos chanos (milkfish), 234 nucleotides long. RefSeq annotates it as small nucleolar RNA SNORA53. The transcript has a single exon. The record is from RefSeq and is a predicted model, not a curated record. NCBI's taxonomy places the organism in Eukaryota, Metazoa, Chordata, Actinopteri, Gonorynchiformes, Chanidae.
AACACGUCCCUUAGAUCCACCUCUGGGGAACUCAUGGUUUAGAGCUGUUCUUUCUAUCUCUGGAAAGUGCAGCUGAAGUCUUGAGAUUCUCAGCAGCUUUUCUGGCUGUACAGUUGGAGGUGCUUGAGUCAUUGACGUGUGAGAGCAGUCUACCUGCCACAUCCAGCUUCACUGCAGCACUGGCCUCCUCUCAAUGGAUGACACCCAGUGCAGCAAAGGUGAAGGGCGGACAGC